GACGAACGCUGGCGGCGUGCUUAACACAUGCAAGUCGAACGGAAAGGCCCUGCUUUUGUGGGGUGCUCGAGUGGCGAACGGGUGAGUAACACGUGAGUAACCUGCCCUUGACUUUGGGAUAACUUCAGGAAACUGGGGCUAAUACCGGAUAGGAGCUCCUGCUGCAUGGUGGGGGUUGGAAAGUUUCGGCGGUUGGGGAUGGACUCGCGGCUUAUCAGCUUGUUGGUGGGGUAGUGGCUUACCAAGGCUUUGACGGGUAGCCGGCCUGAGAGGGUGACCGGCCACAUUGGGACUGAGAUACGGCCCAGACUCCUACGGGAGGCAGCAGUGGGGAAUAUUGCACAAUGGGCGGAAGCCUGAUGCAGCAACGCCGCGUGCGGGAUGAUGGCCUUCGGGUUGUAAACCGCUUUCGCCUGUGACGAAGCGUGAGUGACGGUAAUGGGUAAAGAAACACCGGCUAACUACGU
This 467-nucleotide ribosomal RNA is filed under the name uncultured bacterium. RNAcentral's name for it is "partial 16S ribosomal RNA". It matches the Rfam family "Bacterial small subunit ribosomal RNA", at positions 28 to 506 of the family's 1533-position model. The record is from RNAcentral.